CAGCCGUCUCCCGCACCUGUGCAACCUCCUUUUCUCCCCCAGAUCUUGUUCAUCUUCAUCGACAGCGACCACACCGACAACCAGCGCAUCCUCGAGUUCUUUGGCCUAAAGAAGGAAGAGUGCCCGGCUGUGCGCCUCAUCACCCUGGAGGAGGAGAUGACCAAGUACAAGCCCGAAUCGGAGGAGCUGACGGCAGAGAGGAUCACAGAGUUCUGCCACCGCUUCCUGGAGGGCAAAAUCAAGCCCCACCUGAUGAGCCAGGAGCUGCCAGACGACUGGGACAAGCAGCCCGUCAAGGUGCUUGUUGGGAAGAACUUUGAAGACGUGGCUUUUGAUGAGAAAAAGAACGUCUUUGUGGAGUUCUAUGCCCCAUGGUGUGGUCACUGCAAACAGUUGGCUCCCAUUUGGGAUAAACUAGGAGAGACGUACAAGGACCACGAGAACAUUGUCAUCGCCAAGAUGGACUCGACUGCCAAUGAGGUGGAGGCCGUCAAAGUGCACAGCUUCCCCACACUCAAGUUCUUUCCAGCCAGUGCUGACAGGACGGUCAUCGAUUACAACGGGGAACGCACGCUGGAUGGUUUUAAGAAGUUCCUGGAGAGCGGUGGCCAGGAUGGGGCAGGGGAUGAUGACGAUCUCGAGGACCUGGAAGAAGCAGAGGAGCCAGACAUGGAGGAAGAUGAUGAUCAGAAAGCUGUGAAAGAUGAACUGUAAUACGGAAAGCCAGACCCGGGCGCUGCCGAGACCCCUCGGGGGCUGCACACC
Molecule: small RNA, 765 nt
Filed under: Pongo abelii (Sumatran orangutan)
Lineage: Eukaryota; Metazoa; Chordata; Mammalia; Primates; Hominidae
Description: retained intron
Source: RNAcentral